This 428-nucleotide ribosomal RNA is filed under the name uncultured archaeon. RNAcentral describes it as "bacterial SSU rRNA". It matches the Rfam family "Archaeal small subunit ribosomal RNA", at positions 474 to 903 of the family's 1478-position model. The record is from RNAcentral.
UACCAGCUCUCCGAGUGGUGUGGAUGUUUAUUGGGCCUAAAGCAUCCGUAGCUGGCUGGACAAGUCCCCUGUUAAAUCCACCGAUUUAAUCGUUGGUGUGCGGGGGAUACUGUUCGGCUAGGGGACGGGAGAGGCCGACGGUAUUUCCGGGGUAGGGGUGAAAUCCUAUAAUCCCGGGAAGACCACCAGUGGCGAAGGCUGUCGGCUAGGACGCGCCCGACGGUGAGGGAUGAAAGCUGGGGGAGCGAACCGGAUUAGAUACCCGGGUAGUCCCAGCUGUAAACGAUGCAGGCUAGGUGUUUGGGCGGCCACGUGCCGCUCUAGUGCCGCAAGGAAGCUGUUAAGCCUGCCGCCUGGGGAGUACGGCCGCAAGGCUGAAACUUAAAGGAAUUGGCGGGGAGCACCACAAGGCGUGAAGCUUGCGGUUC